CGGAUUGGAGUCUGCAACCCGAACUCCAUGAAGCUGGAUUCGCUAGUAAUCGCGCAUCAGCCACGGCGCGGUGAAUACGUUCCCGGGCCUUGUACACACCGCCCGUCCAAGCCAUGGGAGUCGGGAGUGCCUGAAGUGCGUGAGCGCGAGCAGCGCCCUAGGGCAAAACCGAUGACUGGGGCUAAGUCGUAACAAGGUAAC
This 201-nucleotide ribosomal RNA is filed under the name uncultured bacterium. RNAcentral's name for it is "partial 16S ribosomal RNA". It matches the Rfam family "Bacterial small subunit ribosomal RNA", at positions 1294 to 1500 of the family's 1533-position model. The record is from RNAcentral.